RNAcentral lists this ribosomal RNA (497 nucleotides) under uncultured bacterium. Its description in RNAcentral is "partial 16S ribosomal RNA". It matches the Rfam family "Bacterial small subunit ribosomal RNA", at positions 28 to 507 of the family's 1533-position model. The record is from RNAcentral.
GAUGAACGCUGGCGGCGUGCCUAAUACAUGCAAGUCGAGCGAACAGACGAGGAGCUUGCUCCUCUGACGUUAGCGGCGGACGGGUGAGUAACACGUGGAUAACCUACCUAUAAGACUGGGAUAACUUCGGGAAACCGGCGCUAAUACCGGAUAAUAUAUUGAACCGCAUGGUUCAAUAGUGAAAGACGGUUUUGCUGUCACUUAUAGAUGGAUCCGCGCCGCAUUAGCUAGUUGGUAAGGUAACGGCUUACCAAGGCAACGAUGCGUAGCCGACCUGAGAGGGUGAUCGGCCACACUGGAACGUGGGCACGCUCCAGACGCCUACGGGAGGCAGCAGUAUGGAAUCUUCCGCAAUGGGCGAAAGCCUGACGGAGCAGCGCCGCGUGAGUGAUGAAGGUCUUCGGAGCGUAAAACUCUGUUAUUAGGGAAGAACAAAUGUGUAAGUAACUAUGCACGUCUUGACGGUACCUAAUCAGAAAGCCACGGCUAACUACGUG